AAUGCUAUUACUUCAAGAGGUUUUAGGUUGUUACCCUAGAAGGUUUCUUGAUAAGG
RNAcentral lists this transfer RNA (56 nucleotides) under Paratenuisentis ambiguus. RNAcentral's name for it is "transfer RNA-Asn". The record is from RNAcentral. Lineage: Eukaryota; Metazoa; Acanthocephala; Eoacanthocephala; Neoechinorhynchida; Tenuisentidae.